RNAcentral lists this ribosomal RNA (253 nucleotides) under uncultured bacterium. RNAcentral describes it as "partial 16S ribosomal RNA". It matches the Rfam family "Bacterial small subunit ribosomal RNA", at positions 524 to 776 of the family's 1533-position model. The record is from RNAcentral.
UACGAAGGGGGCUAGCGUUGCUCGGAAUUACUGGGCGUAAAGGGCGCGUAGGCGGACAGUUUAGUCAGAGGUGAAAGCCCAGGGCUCAACCUUGGAACUGCCUUUGAUACUGACUGUCUUGAGUUCGGGAGAGGUGAGUGGAAUGCCGAGUGUAGAGGUGAAAUUCGUAGAUAUUCGGCGGAACACCAGUGGCGAAGGCGACUCACUGGCCCGAUACUGACGCUGAGGCGCGAAAGCGUGGGUAGCAAACAGG